UAAAAAUUUUACUUUGAGUUUCCUCUCAUUUGUGAAUUUUUCUCUCUCAAACUCACAUUUUCUUCUCAGAUUUCCCAAUCUCUCUUAUUUUUUAUUUUAGGUUUCUCUGUUAUACCUGAUUAAGGUUUUUCAAGCUGACCAGCUCCAAUCCUCCCAUUUCAAAAACACUCACUCUCCGUUCACUCUCCGUUCACUCUCCGUUCACUCUCCGUUCACUCUCCGUUCACUCUCCGUUCACUCUCUGUUCACUCUCCGUUCACUCUCCGUUCACUCUUGCAAUCCCAAAUGAUUUCUGUGUCACAGUUGGAUUUGAGUGGUUGGACCCAAUCGAUUUUGCUAGUGUUCUUUGCUGCUUCAAGGCAAGAUUUACUAUCGUCGUAGGCACUGUUCUUCCCUUUGUAGGCACUGUUAUUCCCUUUCUCUUUAUAAAUAUUCGUUUUCGAUUCACAUUUAUUCCCUAUCAUUCACAAUUGUUAGUUUUCAUCUCUUGGCUUCAAUAUAUUUAGUUUCAUUCCACUUCCAUUUUCAUUCCCUUUUGUGCCCUAGCUUCAAUCUAGGUCGGCAUUGUUUGGUUCUUCACUGCUUCAAGGAAAGGAUCCAGAUUGUUAAAAAGGAACAUCCUUUUGAGAUUGCUAGAAGCAGAGCUCACUUAAGCCCUGGUGGAAGAACUGAGGACAAUACUAGUAUGAGGCGACAAAUGCAUGGAGUUGCUUUAGAUGUAAGCAAUUUGUAGAUGCUUGAUGAGAAGAGAUAUCUUUGAUCUUUUCUCUUGCAUACUUCAGAAUACAAAACCUGUUGACCAUCAGGUAAGUGAGCUGGAGAAGUUGGGUUGCUCUGCUGAUUGGAAGAAUGUGCUUGUUGACUUCUUUGGAACGCAACAAAUAUAAUGUUAAGAGCGGGGAUCUCAUGAAUUGUAUAGGGGAAUUAGAGACAAACACUUACACGUUGGCAGUGGUGUGUCAUCCCCAAAUGAUAUAAGAGGAUCAAGUGGUGAAAGAAAAAUAGAUUAGGGUUAGGAUAACAAUUUUAAAUGUAAAAUUGUCUUAUGGUUUAACAAUUUUCAAUUCUUUUUUCUUUCAUAUUCAAAAACUUUGAUAUUUUGAUGUAAUUAUCAAAUGCACCAUAUGAUUGUACUUGUGAAUG
Long non-coding RNA from Vigna radiata var. radiata (mung bean), 1143 nucleotides. RefSeq lists it as uncharacterized. NCBI's taxonomy places the organism in Eukaryota, Viridiplantae, Streptophyta, Magnoliopsida, Fabales, Fabaceae. The transcript has 4 exons. The record is from RefSeq and is a predicted model, not a curated record.